RNAcentral lists this ribosomal RNA (403 nucleotides) under uncultured bacterium. Its description in RNAcentral is "bacterial SSU rRNA". It matches the Rfam family "Bacterial small subunit ribosomal RNA", at positions 355 to 775 of the family's 1533-position model. The record is from RNAcentral.
UAGGGAAUAUUAGAAAUGGACGAAAGUCUGAUCUAGCAACACCGCGUGUGCGAAGAAGGCCUUCGGGUCGUAAAGCACUUUUUGGAAGGAAUAGGAAGGAAUGUACUUCCAGAAUAAGUCUCGGCUAACUACGUGCCAGCAGCCGCGGUAACACGUAGGAGGCGAACGUUAUCCGGAUUUACUGGGCGUAAAGCGCGUGAAGGUGGUACUGUAAGUAGGGCGUGAAAGCUCCUGGCUCAACUGGGAGAGGCCGUUCUAAACUACAGAACUAGAGGAUGGUAGAGGGAGGUGGAAUUCCAGGUGUAGAGGUGGAAUGCGCAGAUAUCUGGAGGAACACCGGUGGCGAAGGCGGCCUCCUGGACCAUUCCUGACACUCAGACGCGAAAGCUAGGGUAGCAAACGG